CCCUUAGAUGUUCUGGGCAGCACGCGCGCUACAAUGGUCUUCGCAAACGGAUGCAUUCUCGAAGGAGAAUGCCAAUCUUGGAAUCUAUGCCUUGGUCGGGACAGUUGCUUGCAAUUUUUCGACUCGAACCAGGAAUUCCUAGUAAGCGCGAGUCAUCAGCUCGUGCUGAUUACGUCCCUGCCCUUUGUACACACCGCCCGUCGCUCCUACCGAUUGAGUGCUACGGUGAAUAAUUCGGACUGCAGCAACGUUCGGUUCCUGAAUGUUGCAGUGGAAAGUUUAGUGAACCUUAUCACUUAGAGGAAGGAGAAGUCGUAACA
RNAcentral lists this ribosomal RNA (320 nucleotides) under uncultured eukaryote. RNAcentral's name for it is "partial 18S ribosomal RNA". It matches the Rfam family "Eukaryotic small subunit ribosomal RNA", at positions 1470 to 1796 of the family's 1831-position model. The record is from RNAcentral.